RNAcentral lists this ribosomal RNA (858 nucleotides) under uncultured bacterium. RNAcentral describes it as "bacterial SSU rRNA". It matches the Rfam family "Bacterial small subunit ribosomal RNA", at positions 524 to 1381 of the family's 1533-position model. The record is from RNAcentral.
UACGAAGCGUGCGAGCGUUGUUCGGAUUCACUGGGCUUAAAGGGCGCGCAGGCGGCCUAUCAAGUCUGGGGUGAAAUCCCCGGGCUCAACCGGGGAACUGCCUCGGAUACUGGUUUGCUCGAGAGAGGUAGAGGAGUGCGGAAUUGCGAGUGGAGAGGUGAAAUGCGUAGAUAUCGACAAGAACACCGGUGGCGAAGGCGGCGCUCUGGACCUCUCCUGACGCUGAGGCGCGAAAGCGAGGGGAGCAAACGGGAUUAGAUACCCCGGUAGUCCUCGCCCUAAACGAUGUGUGCUAGACAUUGGAGAACCUAUGUCUUCGGUGUCGACGCUAAAGCAUUAAGUACCCCGCCUGGGGAGUACGGUCGCAAGGUUGAAACUCAAAGGAAUUGACGGGGGCCCGCACAAGCGGUGGAGCAUGUGGUUCAAUUCGAAGCAACGCGCAGAACCUUACCAGCCCUUGACAUGCCACGACGGUUUCCAGAGAUGGAUUCCUCCCCGCAAGGGGCGUGGACACAGGUGCUGCAUGGCUGUCGUCAGCUCGUGUCGUGAGAUGUUGGGUUAAGUCCCGCAACGAGCGCAACCCUCGCCCUUAGUUGCCAUCAUUCAGUUGGGCACUCUAAGGGGACUGCCGGUGAUAAGCCGCGAGGAAGGUGGGGAUGACGUCAAGUCCUCAUGGCCCUUACGGGCUGGGCUACACACGUGCUACAAUGGCGGUGACAGUGGGAUGCAAUGGAGCAAUCCUGCGCAAAUCUCAAAAAGCCGUCUCAGUUCGGAUUGUGCUCUGCAACUCGAGCACAUGAAGUUGGAAUCGCUAGUAAUCGCAGAUCAGCACGCUGCGGUGAAUACGUUCCCGGGCCU